UGGGGAAUUUUGGACAAUGGGCGCAAGCCUGAUCCAGCCAUGCCGCGUGCGGGAAGAAGGCCUUCGGGUUGUAAACCGCUUUUGUCAGGGAAGAAAUCUUCUGAGUUAAUACCUCGGGAGGAUGACGGUACCUGAAGAAUAAGCACCGGCUAACUACGUGCCAGCAGCCGCGGUAAUACGUAGGGUGCAAGCGUUAAUCGGAAUUACUGGGCGUAAAGCGUGCGCAGGCGGUUUUGUAAGACAGAGGUGAAAUCCCCGGGCUCAACCUGGGAACUGCCUUUGUGACUGCAAGGCUUGAGUGCGGCAGAGGGGGAUGGAAUUCCGCGUGUAGCAGUGAAAUGCGUAGAUAUGCGGAGGAACACCGAUGGCGAAGGCAAUCCCCUGGGCCUGCACUGACGCUCAUGCACGAAAGCGUGGGGAGCAAACAGGAUUAGAUACCCUGGUAGUCCACGCCCUAAACGAUGUCAACUGGUUGUUGGGAAGGUUCCUUCUCAGUAACGUAGCUAACGCGUGAAGUUGACCGCCUGGGGAGUACGGCCGCAAGGUUGAAAGCUCAAAGGAAUUGACGGGGUGCA
This 575-nucleotide ribosomal RNA is filed under the name uncultured bacterium. RNAcentral's name for it is "partial 16S ribosomal RNA". It matches the Rfam family "Bacterial small subunit ribosomal RNA", at positions 355 to 922 of the family's 1533-position model. The record is from RNAcentral.